UCCUUUGCAGACUCCCAGGCCACGGGCUUCGGUUUCCGGAAAAUGCAGAUCGGGACAGCAGAUGAAAUAAAGCCAUCACCAGCCCACAGGACGGUCUCAAGAGGAGUGACUGUCCCUGUCCUCUGCAGUUGUUGCCAGAGAGCAAUUUGCCCUUGAAUCCAAUCUACCAUCCCUAAACUGACAAUUUCAUUUCCCUCCCAGCCCACCCCCUGCCCCGAAGAUCUGCUGAAGCCGCGAGUUCCAGCUGAAGAGCCGGCAGGAUAAUAGAACCUCAGGGCCCUUGGUAAUGAAGAAGUCAGAGUACCCACAGAAAGGCAGGAUUCACGAAUAAUUCCCCCUGCUUACAAUCACUGGGGAUGUCCGGGGGAGAUAUGGAACAACUACUUCUUCUGGGAUGCUGAAAAAGGGUUCCUGCAUGGUAGGAGAAACUGGAAUUGACAUCCCCUUCAAAGACUCCACGCUUCAAGACAGCACUGUGAAUUUUGAGGGCACUUAAAGAAACGUGCAGAAAGAUACUGCAACUUCUUAAGAAGAUGCUGAUCUCUGCCUUUUCCCACUCAUUCGUUCAGUGCUUGCAGAACACCUGCUACGUGGCAGACGUUGCUGGGGACCGACAGUGGAUUAGGUAUGGUCUUUACCCCCAGGAGAGACAGACACAAUAAGCCCGUGUUUUCAGGACAGCUUGUUGCGUACAAUGAGUCUACGUGGGGCGCUAUAUGACAAAGGGGAUGUUGUGGCUACUUUGGGAGAGUUCCACCGAAGAAGUCUUCAGAGAAGGAAAACAUUCGCCUUGGGUCUUGCGCGUCAGAUGAGUGGGAGUGCCCCCGACAGCUAAGAGGCACAGACAUUCUCAGAACAGGGAACACCCUCUUCUCUUUUCCUUCCUGACAGCCUCGUGAAACAGAGAACAGAAUGGCGUGUAGCUGUUUUGUAAAAUGGGAAAGGUUACUGACAGAUCAACUGGUGAGCCUCCGAAGUUGCAAGAGUCCUCUGACCCCUGCCCUGGGACUCGCCACCAUAUCUGAGCUAUUCUAUUAACAAUUACCAACCUUCGGGUUCAUGCCUAAUACCCAUCAUCCUUCCCUGGCUGGGGAGUUACCAGUUGAGGUGAUCCCUCUAUUUUUGAAAUGCCGAUCAAAUGGACAAAGCUUAUUUCCAUCUCUGCCUCAACUUUUAUAAGUAUCAAGGAAUGCCCCAACAUUGCCCCCAUCCCACUCCCAACUCCGACCCACUCAAAUCAAAAGAGGAGUUCAAAACCUCAACCUUGAAAAGCUUCUGGAACCCAAUAGGCUCUGCCUUGCUUGCCUCAUCACAUCCAUUCCCACAGCACGGGCAAGUCAGCUUGGUCAGCGGGCUCAGAGAUGGUGGGAAUGAGGCGUCAAGGUCAGUAGCUCCCAGCCUGGGCAAUUCCACAGCGACUGAAGUUUCUGGAGUGGCAAUAAGGCCAGCCACAAAUGCUUGUAACUGCUGUCCCGUGUAGCUGCUGUCCUGCCCUGACGCAGGACCCCUCGCUAGAGAACAGCACUGGGCAGUUUCUCUCAGGUUGUGAUCGUGUCGUCUCUGCAUGGCUCCCAGGAACUCAGCCCCGUCAGAAACUCCCAUUUUCCUGUGUU
Long non-coding RNA from Lynx canadensis (Canada lynx), 1613 nucleotides. RefSeq lists it as uncharacterized. The transcript has 3 exons. The record is from RefSeq and is a predicted model, not a curated record. NCBI's taxonomy places the organism in Eukaryota, Metazoa, Chordata, Mammalia, Carnivora, Felidae.